This 590-nucleotide ribosomal RNA is filed under the name [Candida] sp. Levazot7. RNAcentral's name for it is "SSU rRNA". It matches the Rfam family "Eukaryotic small subunit ribosomal RNA", at positions 886 to 1500 of the family's 1831-position model. The record is from RNAcentral. Lineage: Eukaryota; Fungi; Ascomycota; Saccharomycetes; Saccharomycetales.
GGGCAUCAGUAUUCAGUCGUCAGAGGUGAAAUUCUUGGAUUGACUGAAGACUAACUACUGCGAAAGCAUUUGCCAAGGACGUUUUCAUUAAUCAAGAACGAAAGUUAGGGGAUCGAAGAUGAUCAGAUACCGUCGUAGUCUUAACCAUAAACUAUGCCGACUAGGGAUCGGGUGGUGCUACUUUGCCCACUCGGCACCUUACGAGAAAUCAAAGUUUUUGGGUUCUGGGGGGAGUAUGGUCGCAAGGCUGAAACUUAAAGGAAUUGACGGAAGGGCACCACCAGGAGUGGAGCCUGCGGCUUAAUUUGACUCAACACGGGGAAACUCACCAGGUCCAGACGUAAUAAGGAUUGACAAGUUAGAGACUUCUCUUGAUCUUACGGGUGGUGGUGCAUGGCCGUUUUUAGUCCUUGGAGUGAUUUGUCUGCUUAAUUGCGAUAACGGACGAGACCUUAACCUGCUAAAUAGGGCUGCGAGCAUCUGCUCGGGUGCUCUUCUUAGAGGGACUAUGGGUAUCAAACCCAUGGAAGUUUGAGGCAACAACAGGUCUGUGAUGCCCUUAGACGUUCUGGGAAAGAGCAUUUGCAUUA